AGUGAGAAUGUUGGCAUGAGUAGCGAGAUGUGGGUGAGAAUCCCACAGGCCGUAAACCCAAGGUUUCCAGGGGAAGGUUCGUCCGCCCUGGGUUAGUCAGGACCUAAGCCGAGGCCGAAAGGCGUAGGUGAUGGACAACAGGUUGAUAUUCCUGUACCACCAAUAACCGUUUGAGAAAUGGGAUGACACAGAAGGAUAAGCUAACCGCACUGUUGGUUAUGUGCGGGCAAGUAUUGAGGCAGUUCUGAUAGGCAAAUCCGUUAGAAUAAUGCUAGGGUACGAUGCGGAGCGAAAUUUAGUAGCGAAGUAGCUGAUUUCACACUGUCGAGAAAAGUCUCUAUCGAGGUUAAAGGUGCCUGUACCGCAAACCGACACAGGUGGGUGAGGAGAGUAUCCUAAGGCCAGCCAGAGAACUGUUGUUAAGGAACUCGGCAAAAUGACCCCGUAACUUAGGGAGAAGGGGUGCCUUCGAAAGAAGGCCGCAGAGAAUAGGCCCAAGCGACUGUUUACCAAAAACAUAGGUUUCUGCUAAGUCGCAAGACGAUGUAUAGGAGCUGACGCCUGCCCGGUGCUGGAAGGUUAAGGGGAUCUGUUAGAGCAAUCGAAGCAGUGAACUUAAGCCCCAGUAAACGGCGGCCGUAACUAUAACGGUCCUAAGGUAGCGAAAUUCCUUGUCGGGUAAGUUCCGACCCGCACGAAAGGCGUAACGAUUUGGGCACUGUCUCAACAACAGACUCGGUGAAAUUGUAAUACCGGUGAAGAUGCCGGUUACCUGCGACAGGACGGAAAGACCCCAUGGAGCUUUACUGUAGCUUGACAUUGAGUCUCGGUGCUACAUGUACAGGAUAGGUGGGAGGCUAUGAAGCAUGGACGUCAGUUUGUGUGGAGCCAUCCUUGGGAUACCACCCUUGUAGUACUGGGAUUCUAACCAGCUGCCUUGAAUCAGGUAGUGGGACACUGUCAGGUGGACAGUUUGACUGGGGCGGUCGCCUCCCAAAAAGUAACGGAGGCGCUCAAAGGUUCUCUCAGUACGGUCGGAAAUCGUACGAAGAGUGUAAAGGCAAAAGAGAGCUUGAUUGCAAGACAUACAGGUCGAGCAAGGACGAAAGUCGGACUUAGUGAUCCGGUGGUACCGCAUGGAAGGGCCAUCGCUCAACGGAUAAAAGCUACCCUGGGGAUAACAGGCUGAUCUCCCCCAAGAGU
Molecule: ribosomal RNA, 1203 nt
Filed under: human gut metagenome
Description: bacterial LSU rRNA
Rfam family: Bacterial large subunit ribosomal RNA
Source: RNAcentral